CGUCUUCAGGGCAGGGUGAAAUUCCCGACCGGUGGUAUAGUCCACGACCCUAUAUCUUUAUGAUAUAGGCUGAACUGGUGUAAUUCCAGUACCGACAGUAAAGUCUGGAUGGAAGAAGAUA
This 121-nucleotide non-coding RNA is filed under the name Jeotgalibaca ciconiae. RNAcentral's name for it is "FMN riboswitch (RFN element)". It matches the Rfam family "FMN riboswitch aptamer (RFN element)". From Rfam's summary of the family: The RFN element is a highly conserved domain that is found frequently in the 5'-untranslated regions of prokaryotic mRNAs that encode for flavin mononucleotide (FMN) biosynthesis and transport proteins. This element is a metabolite-dependent riboswitch that directly binds FMN in the absence of proteins. In Bacillus subtilis, the riboswitch most likely controls gene expression by causing premature transcription termination within the 5' untranslated region of the ribDEAHT operon and precluding access to the ribosome-binding site of ypaA mRNA. The record is from RNAcentral. Lineage: Bacteria; Bacillati; Bacillota; Bacilli; Lactobacillales; Carnobacteriaceae.